This is a long non-coding RNA of Frieseomelitta varia, 775 nucleotides long. RefSeq lists it as uncharacterized. The transcript is spliced from 2 exons. Lineage: Eukaryota; Metazoa; Arthropoda; Insecta; Hymenoptera; Apidae. The record is from RefSeq and is a predicted model, not a curated record.
AAGUCUAGAUUGAUCGCGAUGAACGGGCGACAAUUUCUAGCCCCAAAUUUCGCUGGGUAUCGUCCAAUUCUUACGAGAGAGUCAUUUUAAAAACUACGUCACUUCGAUCGGCCGUUACAUCUGAUCUUACAUCACCGUGGCGCAGUGUUUGGCAAUUAAACGAAGCUCCGACCUCGGCCGGAAUUAGAUCCAUUUAAACGCGCCGUUCCAAAACACACGCAUACACUUAAAAUACUUUGAGGAUCCCUGUUCGUUCUCAAACGCAUUUGAAUUUUCCUCAGGAGCCGUUCUCAAACUAGCGACGAAAACAAGAGGUUGUCGAGGUGUUUCCGAUAACGGAGAAGAUAAUAGGAUCGUGUGAAUCACAUCGCUCAAGAAAAUAUUAUAUACAGGUGUUCCAUAACCGAGUGGAAGACAACGUAAAAAAAUGACUCGGACAGGAGGAACAAAAUUUUUUCACGAAAACCUCUGUUUUCGAAGAACAUCAAGAUUUUUUCCGUUUUCGAGAAGAUCGUGUUUGAAAAUUUGUCAAGUGCACGGUUCGCGUGUGGAAACCGUAUAAAAUGUAAAUAAGGAAAAGAGUUAUCGAGGAGCUCCAUAUUAAAACUGCUCCAAGUAGAAAGUGGGUGCACGGGGACAGCCGGAUCAGACGUCAUUGCGUCCGUUCCUCGCAGGGGCCUUGAAAGGAAUGUGCAACUAAAAGGAAAUCGCCGAAACGCUUUUACACACUUUACAUAUAUUAUAUAUGCGGUAAGCAGCAUGAUCGAACGAUGGU